Molecule: ribosomal RNA, 491 nt
Filed under: uncultured bacterium
Lineage: Bacteria
Description: bacterial SSU rRNA
Rfam family: Bacterial small subunit ribosomal RNA
Source: RNAcentral
AUUGAACGCUGGCGGAAUGCUUUACACAUGCAAGUCGAGCGGCAGCGCGGGGCAACCUGGCGGCGAGCGGCGAACGGGUGAGUAAUACAUCGGAACGUGCCCAGACGUGGGGGAUAACUACUCGAAAGAGUGGCUAAUACCGCAUACGAUCUAAGGAUGAAAGCGGGGGAUCGCAAGACCUCGCGCGUUUGGAGCGGCCGAUGGCAGAUUAGGUAGUUGGUGGGGUAAAGGCUUACCAAGCCCGCGAUCUGUAGCUGGUCUGAGAGGAUGAUCAGCCACACUGGGACUGAGACACGGCCCAGACUCCUACGGGAGGCAGCAGUGGGGAAUUUUGGACAAUGGGCGAAAGCCUGAUCCAGCCAUUCCGCGUGCAGGAUGAAGGCCCUCGGGUUGUAAACUGCUUUGUACAGAACGAAAAGACUCUUUCUAAUACAGAGAGUCCAUGACGGUACUGUAAGAAUAAGCACCGGCUAACUACGUGCCAGCAGCCG